GACGUAGGGCGCGAGCGUUGUCCGGAUUUAUUGGGCGUAAAGAGCUCGUAGGCGGCUUGUCGCGUCGUCCGUGAAAACUUGGGGCUCAACCCCAAGCUUGCGGUCGAUACGGGCAGGCUCGAGUUCGGUAGGGGAGACUGGAAUUCAUGGUGUAGCAGUGAAAUGCGUAGGGAUCAUGAGGAAGACCAGUGGCGAAGGCGGGUCUCUGGACAGUUCCUGACACUGAGACACGAAGGCCAGGGGAGCAAACGGG
This 253-nucleotide ribosomal RNA is filed under the name uncultured bacterium. Its description in RNAcentral is "partial 16S ribosomal RNA". It matches the Rfam family "Bacterial small subunit ribosomal RNA", at positions 524 to 776 of the family's 1533-position model. The record is from RNAcentral.